GCAGGGGUUCAGAUAAAAAAUCGGCAGCUGGCAGCAGGAAGUGGCUGCCAUUGACAGCCGGAAGGCAGUAACUGACAGCCGGAAGGCAGUAACUGUCAGCCGGAUGGUAGGCGGGAAAUGCCAUUCGGUGGGAGCCAAUCAGUAUCGACCAACGUGGGCACAACCAAUCAGAUAUAACUGCACCCAAACGCUUCAGUAAUGGUUGCGAUUGAUCAAACGUUGCCAGAUGCUGUCCUGUUGGAAAUUCUUCUUUACGUGAUCCUGGAGGAGGGUGAUGCUACAUUACUAAGUCCGUCCUUGGUUUGUUCCAAAUUCAGAAGUCUGCUGUACUGUAUACAGACUCCUUUCGAAAGAGGGCACAAUCCAGCUGGCUUGACUGAGUAUCUUCUUUUACAUAUUUGAUUAGAGGUUUAAAAAGGUGGAACAAAAUGGAGAACAAGUCUAAGCCAUGUCAGG
Molecule: long non-coding RNA, 456 nt
Organism: Carassius auratus (goldfish)
Lineage: Eukaryota; Metazoa; Chordata; Actinopteri; Cypriniformes; Cyprinidae
Exons: 3
Source: RefSeq, a predicted model, not a curated record